RNAcentral lists this ribosomal RNA (492 nucleotides) under uncultured bacterium. Its description in RNAcentral is "SSU rRNA". It matches the Rfam family "Bacterial small subunit ribosomal RNA", at positions 26 to 518 of the family's 1533-position model. The record is from RNAcentral.
AGGACGAACGCUGGCGGCGUGCUUAACACAUGCAAGUGGAGCGACGAACCAGGGCUUGCCCUGGGGCAGAGCCGCGAACGGGUGAGUAACACGUGGGUUACCUGCCUCGAUGACCGGGACAACCCGAGGAAACUCGGGCUAAUACCGGAUGUGCCCGCAAGGGGAAAGGAAGCUUCGGCCUCCGCAUCGAGAUGGGCCCGCGGCCCAUUAGCUUGUUGGUGAGGUAACGGCUCACCAAGGCUUCGAUGGGUAGCUGGUCUGAGAGGACGAUCAGCCACACUGGGACUGAGACACGGCCCAGACUCCUACGGGAGGCAGCAGUGGGGAAUCUUGCGCAAUGCGCGAAAGCGUGACGCAGCAACGCCGCGUGGGGGAAGAAGGCUUUCGGGUUGUAAACCCCUUUCAGUUGGGACGAAGCUUCAGCGGUGAAUAGCCGCUUGGAGUGACGGUACCUUCACAAGAAGCACCGGCUAACUACGUGCCAGCAGCCGC